GUGGAAAGAACAUUGUAUUAAAGCCCGGUUCCAUUACUUCUACCAUCAACCAGCUGUGUGGCUCAGAAAAGAAAUGGAACAGUACUUCCCUGGUAUAAAGAAUCUGCCUUGCAGUGCAGGGGACAUCCCUGGUCUGUGAAGAUUCCACAUGCCUUGGAGCAACUAAACCCCAUGCACCACAACUUCUGAGCCCGGGUUCUAGGGCCUGUGAACUGCAACUACUGAGCACUUGAGCUGCAACUACGGAA
This 248-nucleotide long non-coding RNA is filed under the name Capra hircus (goat). Its description in RNAcentral is "lncRNA (ENSCHIG00010008938.1)". Lineage: Eukaryota; Metazoa; Chordata; Mammalia; Artiodactyla; Bovidae. The record is from RNAcentral.